Molecule: non-coding RNA, 6086 nt
Organism: Sus scrofa (pig)
Lineage: Eukaryota; Metazoa; Chordata; Mammalia; Artiodactyla; Suidae
Source: RefSeq, a predicted model, not a curated record
GAACUCUAGCCUAAGAACCUCCAUAUGCCACAGGUUUGGCCCUAAAAAGACAAAAAAAAAAAAAAAGAAAAGAAAUACUUUCUCACAAUAUAUAAGUUCUCUUUUUCAUUGUUGUCUAUGUGAGCAUGUGAGAUAACAGAAAAUAUACAUAUUGGUCUCUGCUCCUGGUCCCUGGAACAGAGCUCCUGAAACCUUUGUAAAUACCUAAGUGACAAGAGUACUGGAGCAUAUUUUGAGCUAAUAUUUGUUCUUUGACCCUGGUUUCUGACACAGUGCUCCUAAAUCUCUUGCAAUUUCCUGAGUAAUAGGGGCAACUUUUGUUCUAAUGAGGUGAUUUUUGAUGGGCUCCUAGAUGGGAGCUGGUCUCCAGCAAGACCAAGCCAGCAUCAGAAGCCUGGAAUUCAUCCCCAUCCCCCAUUCUCUGGAGAGAGGAGAGGUGCUGGAAGUGGAAUUAGUGAUUGAUCAGGCCUAUGUAAUGAAGCCUCCAUAAGAAUCCCCAGUGGACAGGGUCUGGAGCAUUUCCAGAGAGGAUGUGGGAGGCUCCACACCCCCUUCCCACAACCUUCCCUGAGCAUCUCUUUCAUCCAGAUGUUGAUCAGUAUCUUUUAUCAUGUCUUUUUAUUAAAAGCUGGUGAACAGUAAGUAAACUAUUUUCUCGAGUUCUGCAAGUCAUUCUAGCAAAGUAAUUUAACUUAAGGGGGAGUCACAGAAACCUCUGACUUGUAGCUGAUUGGUCAGAAGCACAUGUAACAACCUGUACUUGUGAUUGGCCUUGAAGGGCACAGGGGCAGGCAGUCUUGUGGGACUGACCCCUUAACCUGUAUCUCUAGGUAGAUAGCAUCGGAAUUGGGUUAAAUUGCAGGACACCCAGCUGGUGUCAUGGAAUCAUUUGGUAUGGGGAAAACCCCCACCUAGGUGUCAGAAGUGUUGUUAUUGUGAUAGUAGUGUGAAAGUAAAGGAGAAACCCAGGAGGACUGAAGUUUUUCCUACUAUAGAGCAAUAUUGAAUCUAUCUAAGAAUCUCUUAGUCUCCUUCCCAUUUCCCCUAGUACCAAACUUGAGGCAAAUCCUUUUAUUUCUAGUUAAAAUUUGCAUAUGACAAUCAGGGCUUUUCUUUAUAAUUAUUAUUUUUGGUGUUUUUGUCCUUUUAGGGACGCACCCGCAGCAUAUGGAGGUUCCCAGCCUAGGGGUCUAAUCAGAGCUCAGCAACGCCAGAUCCGAGCCAUGUCUGUGAUCUGCACCACAGCUCACAGCAAUGCUGGAUCCUUAACCCACUGAGCGAGGCCAGGGAUCAAACCCACAACCUCAUGGUUCCUAGUUGGAUUUGCUUCCUCUGCGCCAAGACGGGAACUCCAAUCAGAGCUUUCCUGCUUCUCAACUACUCGUCUACCUCACUUACCUAAUCUCUCCUCGUUGUUAGUUUUACUAUAUUUACCAAGUUGCCAAGAAAUCUGGAAACAUAAAUGAAUACACAUUAAUAGUUUGGUGAUAUUAUAUUUCAAUACACACUAAAGUAGUAGUAUCUUUUUCCAGACUUUAUGGCUACCCUAUAUAUUAAUCAAAGUACAUAGCUAUCAUAUACUACUUUCCAUUAGAACCAUUGUUUAUUCUUAAUUAUGCAAGUAAACAUAAAUUUACCUCCACUAGUGAUAUUGUUGUCUCUUCAGUCAUUGUGGUUAUCUACAGCUUGUUCUCUAGUUUCCUCAGGAAAUGUUUUUAUCAAGAAUAUUCUUUUUUUAUGGGAUAUAAGAGGGGAGACAUAAUAGCAGUCUCCAAUAGAGGGAGCCUUAGGUUCCUCACAGGAAAGAAAAUAGAUCAGAAAUUUGUAAUCUAUAGAGAAAUUUUAAAUAGCUUUUGGAGUUCCCGUUGUGGCUCAGUGGAAACAAACCUGACUAAUAUCCAUGACGAUACGGGUUUGAGUGCUGACCUCACUCAGUGGGUUAAGGCUCCGGCGUUGCCAUGAGCUAUGGUGCAGUUUGCAGUCGUGGCGUGGAUCUGGCAUUGCUAUGGCUGUGGUGUAGGCCAGCAGCUGCAUCUCCAAUUUGACCCUUAGCCUGGGAACUUCCACAUGCCGCACCUGUGGCCUGAAAGUAAAUAAAUAAAUAAAAAUAAAAUAGCUUCUAUAUUUGCCACAGCCACAUCAGAUCCGAGCCACAUCUGUGACCUACACCACAGCUCACAGCAACGCCAGAUCCUUAACCCACUGAGUGAGGCCAGGGAUUGAACCCGAAACCUCAUGGUUCCUAGUCAGAUUCGUUUCUGCUGAGCCACAAAGGGAACUCUUCUAUUUCUGUUUUUGAAUAUGCACACAAUCUUUGGAAAACUACACACCCAAACAAAAACCUGAUAAUUGACAGAAGGGAGGUCAUUACCUAAUAUUUAAAAGACCAUCAGUUUCAGAGAAAAAAAAAAGAAAACCUUUACCUUCUCCGGGCUCUCCACUUAAACUGACCAGUCUUCUUUUUGUUCUUCCCAUUUCCUAUUAUACUACUAAGACUCUUACUAGGUUUCAAGAAAGGUACAAGCCCAGGUUACCUCAGGAUGGUGACUGUCAACUAGGAAGCACACCGUGUAGGCUGACUUGCAGAGAAUUAAGAAUGAAACACGGCAGAGGAAAAAAGAGAUUGGGGGGGGAUCACUUCCUGAUCAUGUUCUAUCCUCCAGAUUCUAGUGCCCUUUGAGGCCCAACCUAUACUUCCUACUUUUGGAAUCUGUUAUAAAUGUCCUGUGACUUUAUAAUAAAUUUCCCCCUUUUCUGUUUCGAGUAACCUGUAUAGGUACUUCUUUUUACUGCGCAGUCUUGAGCCAAUAAUAAUGCUAAAAUCACUGACUACUCACUAUGCAUCAGGGUGCCUAGUAGUAGGCCCUACUCGGCAUAUUACAUAUAUUUAAUGCUCAAAAUUAAGAUUAUCCUUAUUUUGCACCAUAGGGGUACUCAGACCCAGAAAGAUCAAGUAACUUGUCCAAGUUCACACAUUUAGGCAGAACCAGAAUUUAAUCCUGGUGCUCUGACUCCAGCACUCAAGUUGGUAGUUGCCCUCAGUCAGGUAGUUUAUGCCCUUCCAUAGACACAAAGUAAACUUGGAGUCCAAUGGCAGAUGAUCUCAAUCCAAAUAAAAGAUUUCCUAUUGGUCUAAUUUCAGUCAUGAGAAAACUAAGGCAAAUGAUAAAAAUAAGUAUCCAGAUCCUUAACCCACCAAGCAAGGCCAGGGAUCGAACCCACAACCUCAUGGUUCCUAACCAGAUUCGUUUCCUCUGCACCACAAUGGGAACUCCCUGAACGUUAUUUUUUUCUUUUUUCCUUUACUUUUUAGGGCUUCACUUGCAGCAUAUGGAGGUUCCCAGGCUAGGGGUCGAACUGAAGCCGCAGCUGCCAGCCUACGUCACAGCCACAGCAAUGCUAGAUCCGAGCCUUGUCUGCCACCUACACCACAGCUUGCAGCAACGCCAGAUCCUUAACCUACCGAGUGAGGCCAGGGAUAGAACCCGCAUCCUCAUGGAUACUAGUUGGGUUCUUAAUCCACUAAGCUGAAACAGAAACUCUGGAACCUUAGAUUUUAAAGAGACAAAUAACCUAAAACAGUCACUUCUCCCCCGAGAACAAUGAGUUAGAGGAUUCAGAAAUAGACCCAAAUAUAUUAGGGAAUAUAACAAAGGUGGCAAUUCAAGUUGGUGGGGAAAAGAUGGCUUAUUCAAUAAAUGAUGCCAAGAUAACUAGUUAGGUAUCUGGAGACGAACCUAAAUUUAGUCACCAAAAUAAUUCCAACAGAACAAAACCAGGAGUUCCUGACAUGGUGCAAUAGGUUAGGAGUCUGACUGCAGUGGCUCGAGUCACUACAGAGGCAUGGGUUUGAUCCCUGGCCUAGUGCAGUGGGUUAAAGGAUCUGGCAUAGGUUGCAGCUGCAACUGGAUUCAAUCCCUAGCCUGGGAACUUCCACGUGGCAAGUAUGGCCAUAAAAUUUUUAAAAAACAAUCCCCCACUAAAACCAUGGGUGAAUUAUUUUCUAAAUAUUGGAAGUUAUGAAAAGCCAUUCAAGGCAUAAGAUACACAAACACUGAGAGAAAUAAUAAAUUUGACUACAUAAAGGUUAAAAACAUGUCCAUGCCCCCCACCCCCCAAAAAGCUACAAACAAGUGAACAAAAAAAAGACCCCUACAGGAGUUCCCGCUAUGGCGCAACAGGAAGCAUGAUGUCUCUGCUGCACCAGGAUGCGGGUUUGAUCCCUAGCCCAAUACAGUGGGUUAGAAGAUCUGGUGUUACUGCACUACAUCGUGGGUCACAACUGUGGCUUGGAUCUGAUCCCUGGCCCAGGAACUCCAUGUGCCGCGGGGCAGCCAAAAAAGAAAGAAAAACAAAAAAAAAACCCUGACUAAUGGGGGGAAAAUGCUUGCAACAUAAUUGAUAAAGGGGUAAUUUCCUUAACAUAUAAAGAAUCAAAUAGAUUAAUAAAAAUGAUCAAGAGCCCAAAAGCAAAUGGCAAAAAAUUAUUAAAGGCUAUUAUCAGGGAGGAAAAAAAAAGAAGUAAGAUGUAUAAACGUUAAGUGAAGGGACAUCAACGGCUUAAGGUCAUACAGCUCCUGCAUUCCUGUGUUGAGUAAGAACUCAAACCCCUGUGUCUGGCUCCAAAGUCUGUGGUAUGUUACACCACACUGCCCAGUGAACACAGCUCUUGGGGUUCCAUGGUUUGUUACAGUGGUUAAAGACCCCAAAGAUAAGCUGGAAGUUCUCGAGGAUAAGGUAUGCUAGAAAAAAGUCAGGGCCACUAAUCAGUUAAUUUUCUCAUAUUCAUUUCCUGUCUCUCACACCUCUAAAAUGAAAAUGAACCUAAGUUUCAGGGGAAAAGAUUGGAGUGUCAGCCAAGAAAGUGCGUAACAAAAAGGGGAUGGCAGCCCCUGCGAAUUGGGAGGUAGUCCCAGAAGGUCUGCCUUCUGCAGUUGCCAGGCAACAAAGGUAAACAGCAGAAAGUGGCAGGAUCAUGGCCACUAACUACAGCGCCAACCAGGCCAUCCCAAAACAGACAUAAGGAUGGAUUUGGCCCAUGGGCCACAAUUUGCUGACCUCUGGUCUAAACCAGCACUGCAAUAAAAAGAUAAUUAUGAAAAAGCUUUCUCACCCAGGUAUCUGCAGAACUGGUCUCUCGCCAAGCCAACAAAACAGAGGAUUUCUUCCCAUGAAGGCUACACUCAGAUUAUCGCCAAUGAUCGUGGUCAUCUGUUGCCUUCAGUGCCCCGCUCCAAGGCAAGUCCCUGGGGUUCAUUCAUGGGCACCUGGGAUAUGCCUCUGAAGGUACCCCCUGCUCGAGUGACCUUGACCUCCCGUACAGCUGCCGGUGCAGCCUCCCUCACCAAAUGGAUACAGAAAAAUCCCAAUUUACUGAAGGCCUCCAAUGGGCUGCGUCCUGAAAUCUUAGGCAAGCCCCACGAUCCAGACGGCCAGAGGAAAUUUGGGAAGUCUAUCAUAAAGACAGUACAACAAGCUCCAAGAUCAACCAUAAUCCCAAGCUCCCCAGGCUCAAAUCUCAAUUCCCCAGAUCAUCCCCAAAGCUCACAUCCCUCUGCAGGUCACACUCCAGGUCCCCAAAGCCCAGCCAACUCUCCAAAGACCUCACUUGGAAGCCCGUGUAUGCCUGAACACUGUGCAGGUCCUAAACUAGCUGAGGUCCAAAAAUGCCAACUUGGAACUCCAUAAGGGACUAAGGGACCACACUGAGAAAAGCUGUCUGGGGACUGAGUGACACCCGGUCGGGGAAAUUAUGGAUGGGAGUAAAGGCAAAUUUGGAAAAUUAACAUUGUUGAGUCUUUUACUGAUUUGGAUUUUUCCCUCUUGCUAUGGCUGCCUCUUGUAACCCAUAACUAGGAGGAGGGUUGAAGGAAAGAGUAGGGAGAAGAAAACAUUUUUACAAGGAUUGAGUCAAUUAUACUCCAGAAAUGACCAGGAGGAAAUUUGAGCAAAAGGAACAUCAAAUAACUAGUCCCUCACCCAUCUCAUUUUUCACCCUGAAUAUGAACUACAACUUCAAAGUUUGAGGUACAGUCAUUAGUAGAAUAUGUAUAUGCACAUUUGGAGGAGGCGGGGGGUGGGGGGGA